AAAGUCGUAACAAGGUUUCCGUAGGUGAACCUGCGGAAGGAUCAUUCUCGAUAUAAUAGCGUAAGCUAUCAAUAUUCACAUUGUGCACUGUUACUGCGCCAUUUGGUGGCUGCGAAGCCACCGGGUGAUCUGCGCUUACUUUUUAUCCUAUAUACUUUAUAAAUAACCACAAAUUUAUACAAUAUUUUUUUAAAUUUUCGACAACUUUUAGCAAUGGAUCUCUAGGCUCUC
This 231-nucleotide unclassified non-coding RNA is filed under the name fungal sp. RNAcentral describes it as "partial internal transcribed spacer region". The stretch from base 1 to 47 matches the Rfam family "Eukaryotic small subunit ribosomal RNA", at positions 1785 to 1831 of the family's 1831-position model. Lineage: Eukaryota; Fungi. The record is from RNAcentral.